UUGCAGAUGUGGGGAGCAGUCUCACGGCUCUGACCUCUGGCACGAAGACUAGCCCUCCAACCAGAGUUCAUGUGGAUCACACAUACGCGAUGCAAGGCGCGAUGGAUGGACAUGGCCCGCCGUCUGGAGGAAACGAUGUGGUCCUGUGCCACCCGCACCGAGGGCAAGGGGAAGAUGGACGUGUUGAGGGCCAGACUUCGACAGCUUCGGAAACAUAACAAGAGACUCCAGCAACGACUGCAGCGACGGCGUCAUAUGCUGACUGUCACUGAGAUAGCUGAAAGUGUACGUAGCCUCGUCUCUCCAGCCGUUGCUGCCCUUGUGGAAGCUCAGCUGAAGAUGACCAAUGCGAGCAGGUUCGGCAGGCGGUGGUGCAGCCAGAACAAAGCCUUUGCCUUGGGCUUGUACUUUCACAGCCCUAAGGGU
Ixodes scapularis (black-legged tick) is the source of this 426-nucleotide long non-coding RNA. RefSeq lists it as uncharacterized. The record is from RefSeq and is a predicted model, not a curated record. The transcript has 3 exons. Lineage: Eukaryota; Metazoa; Arthropoda; Arachnida; Ixodida; Ixodidae.